UACGUAGGUGGCAAGCGUUGUCCGGAAUUAUUGGGCGUAAAGCGCACGUAGGCGGCUUUGUAAGUUAGAGGUGAAAGCCCGGGGCUCAACUCCGGAACUGCCUUUAAGACUGCAUCGCUUGAAUUGUGGAGAGGUAAGUGGAAUUCCGAGUGUAGAGGUGAAAUUCGUAGAUAUUCGGAAGAACACCAGUGGCGAAGGCGACUUACUGGACACAUAUUGACGCUGAGGUGCGAAAGCGUGGGGAGCAAACAGG
This 253-nucleotide ribosomal RNA is filed under the name uncultured bacterium. RNAcentral's name for it is "partial 16S ribosomal RNA". It matches the Rfam family "Bacterial small subunit ribosomal RNA", at positions 524 to 776 of the family's 1533-position model. The record is from RNAcentral.